Molecule: ribosomal RNA, 1536 nt
Filed under: Klebsiella pneumoniae
Lineage: Bacteria; Pseudomonadati; Pseudomonadota; Gammaproteobacteria; Enterobacterales; Enterobacteriaceae
Description: bacterial SSU rRNA
Rfam family: Bacterial small subunit ribosomal RNA
Source: RNAcentral
AAAUUGAAGAGUUUGAUCAUGGCUCAGAUUGAACGCUGGCGGCAGGCCUAACACAUGCAAGUCGAGCGGUAGCACAGAGAGCUUGCUCUCGGGUGACGAGCGGCGGACGGGUGAGUAAUGUCUGGGAAACUGCCUGAUGGAGGGGAUAACUACUGGAAACGGUAGCUAAUACCGCAUAAUGUCGCAAGACCAAAGUGGGGACCUUCGGGCCUCAUGCCAUCAGAUGUGCCCAGAUGGGAUUAGCUAGUAGGUGGGGUAACGGCUCACCUAGGCGACGAUCCUAGCUGGUCUGAGAGGAUGACCAGCCACACUGGAACUGAGACACGGUCCAGACUCCUACGGAGGCAGCAGUGGGGAAUAUUGCACAAUGGGCGCAAGCCUGAUGCAGCCAUGCCGCGUGUGUGAAGAAGGCCUUCGGGUUGUAAAGCACUUUCAGCGGGGAGGAAGGCGAUAAGGUUAAUAACCUUGUCGAUUGACGUUACCCGCAGAAGAAGCACCGGCUAACUCCGUGCCAGCAGCCGCGGUAAUACGGAGGGUGCAAGCGUUAAUCGGAAUUACUGGGCGUAAAGCGCACGCAGGCGGUCUGUCAAGUCGGAUGUGAAAUCCCCGGGCUUAACCUGGGAACUGCAUUCGAAACUGGCAGGCUAGAGUCUUGUAGAGGGGGGUAGAAUUCCAGGUGUAGCGGUGAAAUGCGUAGAGAUCUGGAGGAAUACCGGUGGCGAAGGCGGCCUGGACAAAGACUGACGCUCAGGUGCGAAAGCGUGGGGAGCAAACAGGAUUAGAUACCCCGUAGUCCACGCCGUAAACGAUGUCGAUUUGGAGGUUGUGCCCUUGAGGCGUGGCUUCCGGAGCUAACGCGUUAAAUCGACCGCCUGGGGAGUACGGCCGCAAGGUUAAAACUCAAAUGAAUUGACGGGGGCCCGCACAAGCGGUGGAGCAUGUGGUUUAAUUCGAUGCAACGCGAAGAACCUUACGGUCUUGACAUCCACAGAACUUUCCAGAGAUGGAUUGGUGCCUUCGGGAACUGUGAGACAGGUGCUGCAUGGCUGUCGUCAGCUCGUGUUGUGAAAUGUUGGGUUAAGUCCCGCAACGAGCGCAACCCUUAUCCUUUGUUGCCAGCGGUUCGGCCGGGAACUCAAAGGAGACUGCCAGUGAUAAACUGGAGGAAGGUGGGGAUGACGUCAAGUCAUCAUGGCCCUUACGACCGGGCUACACACGUGCUACAAUGGCAUAUACAAAGAGAAGCGACCUCGCGAGAGCAAGCGGACCUCAUAAAGUAUGUCGUAGUCCGGAUUGGAGUCUGCAACUCGACUCCAUGAAGUCGGAAUCGCUAGUAAUCGUAGAUCAGAAUGCUACGGUGAAUACGUUCCCGGGCCUUGUACACACCGCCCGUCACACCAUGGGAGUGGGUUGCAAAAGAAGUAGGUAGCUUAACCUUCGGGAGGGCGCUUACCACUUUGUGAUUCAUGACUGGGGUGAAGUCGUAACAAGGUAACCGGGGAACCUGCGGUUGGAUCACCUCCUUACCUUAAAGAA